This 167-nucleotide unclassified non-coding RNA is filed under the name soil metagenome. Its description in RNAcentral is "partial internal transcribed spacer 1". The record is from RNAcentral.
GUGAAUUAAACAUGCUUGGUGUCUUCGCUUCGGCAAGGCCCUUGCUUAAAUCACAUCCUAACACCUGUGAACUGUAAGACGUAUGAUGAGGUCUUUGGCCAAGUCACCGUCUGCCCAUUUUUAACAAACAAUUAAUGUAACAAACGUAGUCUUAUUAUAACCUAAUA